CCUACGGGUGGCAGCAGUGAGGAAUAUUGGUCAAUGGGCGCGAGCCUGAACCAGCCAAGUAGCGUGAAGGAUGACUGCCCUACGGGUUGUAAACUUCUUUUAUAAAGGAAUAAAGUGAGGCACGUGUGCCUUUUUGUAUGUACUUUAUGAAUAAGGAUCGGCUAACUCCGUGCCAGCAGCCGCGGUAAAACGUAGGGGGCGAGCGUUGUCCGGAAUGACUGGGCGUAAAGGGUGCGUAGGCGGCAUAAUAAGUUAGAAGUGAAAUACCCAGAGCUUAACUCGGGUGCUGCUUCUAAGACUGUUGAGCUUGAGUGCGGGAGAGGUUAAUGGAAUUCCUAGUGUAGCGGUGGAAUGCGUAGAUAUUAGGAGGAACACCAGAGGCGAAGGCGAUUAACUGGACCGUAACUGACGCUGAGGCACGAAAGUGUGGGUAGCAAACAGGAUUAGAUACCCGGGUAGUC
Molecule: ribosomal RNA, 461 nt
Filed under: uncultured bacterium
Lineage: Bacteria
Description: partial 16S ribosomal RNA
Rfam family: Bacterial small subunit ribosomal RNA
Source: RNAcentral